CACAUGUCUCUCGAUCUGCUUUCCUUUCCUCACGAAGCAAUGUCCAAUCCCGCACGCAACCUCCACCCCGUUCCUCUCUGCCCUGCGCCGCCCCCUCCUCUUGAGAACGAGCACGGCUCUUGUCGCUGUGCCUGGUGGGGAUCCGGUGCAUCCCCUCUCCCCUCGCCUCCUCCUCUCCUGGGUCCCUGCAUUGCCGGCUCAGCCGCUUCCCCUGCGUCUUCUCGUCCCCGCUUCUCUCCUCCUAGUCCAGUCCUGGACCAGAUCGGUGUUUGGCGCAGGAGGCUCGGGGUGGUCGCAGGUUCGGGCGCCAUCUCCUUCCUUCCCGUACACUGGGAUCAAACAGCCCGCGGCCUGGCGGUGGCGGCCUGGAUCCGGAGGCAGACGGACCAGAUCCUGGAGCUGGGCACGAAGGAGCUCGAGGUCGACGACUCCGGCUUCGUCCUCCUCCUCUAACGUCGCCACCUUGCUCAGCGCACGCAGGCCUGGACGAUGGCAAGCAUUGAUGUGCGCACGUCGUUGCAACAGCCACAUCUCAACCCUCCCGACGCACACAAUAAUCAGAGGUGCCAAAAUGAUUUGGUGUUUGCAAGGGUCGCUUUUGUUGCAUUUUCUACAUGAGAAACCAUCUCAGGCUAUUUGGAUGCACCUGCACAGUACUGAUAGUACAUGAAAUUCAUCAACCUGCUGUUGCCGCAACCAACCAAAAUCUGCUCUAACAGAGUGAUGAAUACAAUAUUCAUGCUAAGCUUUCUUCAAAUUAUGCUAAUCGAUCUUAAAAAGCUGGCUACUGGUGUUAUUUGCUGCAAUUUAUUUCUGACAGCCAGGUGCUUUUAUUUAUGUUCAUAUUCCACGUAUGCAUGUGCUGCUCCGGUGGUGUUUUAUUAGUUGAUUGGCAUAUAUGGAUCUCUCCAUGUUUAUUAGUUGAUCUCCAACCCCUACUCUGCUGUGGUGCUAUGGGAGCAAGAAGAGCAUGCAUGCUUUCUCUCUACAUCUAGGGUCCAUAUGGCCAGAUUGACGGGCCUAAACUCUGGCUCAAAGGUUUCUUUCAAGAAUCAUGAGAGAACAUUCAAGGAGUGGAUUAUUUGGAAAUUAGAACCUUCAGAUUUCUUAGAAGUGAGGUUACUUUCCAACUAGAAUUAUAGGCAAGCAUUGGUCUUUAAUUUGGAACCUGGAAACAGCCUCUUACAGAAAUGUAGGGAAAGGCUGCGUACUAUAGACCCAAAGUGGUCGGACCCUUCCCUGGACCCUGCGCAAGCGGGAGCUACAUGCACCAGCUUCACUCGGAUUUAUGUGAAUAUAAGCGUAAGAGGUCUAGUGGCAAUGCUACAAAAUCAUUGCAGGCGUGAGUAUCCGGAUUGCACUACUGCUGGCCGUUUCUUGCCAUUGCCUACAACAGGCUUCUGACAAAGCCAAGUCAUGGCCUCAUUAGGCCCCUUUUUUCAGCCAAACUGAAAGCACUUCAUGUUAGCUUGUAUUCGCUUUUGGAUUAACUACAAUGCAUUGUACCCAUCCAUGCUCCAGGGAUAUAAUAACAUUGUAGAUAGACGGAGACUGAAUCAGUUCACACUACUUUGAUGUCUAUCGAGCCAAUGGGACAACAAAGGUAGUUCUUUUGCACAAGUUGAAGAAUGUUAUUUCAUACUGCACGAUAUGUCUGACUCCUUUCAGUGGGCAUUCAAUUAAUUUGAGGCAUCCUUUCCUAGGAUCUUACCUUGAUAUUCCUCUAUUUUCUCCUAUUCGUCCCAUGCUUUUUUAAGAACUGAAAUAAAUAUAACCAGUGUUACAAAUGUUUGCCGAGGAAAAGUCCUUGCAGAAAAGAAGAACCGGAAGCAGGUUAUCUAUCUUCACGAGCAAGUCGGCGUCUGUAAACCUUCACCAGAGCCAUUCCAGCUCUUUCAGAGCCACAAGGCAAGGAAGUUGAGGAACCAAGACCCCAACGGCGCGGAGCAGUUUGCCGUCGAGAGGACUAGGGCUGCCAUCAGGGACCUCUAGACCAAGCUCAACAUCUCCCUCGUGCCUCCAUCAACACCGUGUCUUGGAGGGUCGUCGCCGUCCGCGACGACGAGCUACUGCCGCAGCUUUGUCAGCCGCACGGUUAGAGGGAGGCAUCAAGGGCCCGCCACCGCUGUCGGGGCCGACGUGCGUGUAAUUUCUAUUAAUGUAUCCUAUGUUGCCAAACAACAACAUGCUCCUGUCAAUGCUAUAUCGUUGUGGGUAUGGCAUUUCAGUUUCUUCCUCAGGUGAUAUUCCAAUAUAAUAAGUCCCAUCAAGAAUUGCAUGUACA
Molecule: long non-coding RNA, 2284 nt
Organism: Triticum aestivum (bread wheat)
Lineage: Eukaryota; Viridiplantae; Streptophyta; Magnoliopsida; Poales; Poaceae
Exons: 8
Source: RefSeq, a predicted model, not a curated record